GAUGAACGCUGGCGGCGUGCCUAAUACAUGCAAGUCGAGCGAACAGACGAGUAGCUUGCUCCUCUGACGUUAGCGGCGGGCGGGUGAGUAACACGUGGAGAACCUACCUAUAAGACUGGGAUAACUUCGUGAAACCGGAACUAAUACCGGAUAAUAUAUUCAACCGCAUGGUUGAAUAGUGAAAGACGGUUUUGCUGUCCCUUAUAGAUGGAUCCGCGCCGCAUUGGCUGGUUGGUAAGGUAACGGCUUACCAAGGCGACGAUGCGUAGCCGACCUGAGAGGGUGAUGGGCCACACUGGAACCGAGACACGGUCCAGACUCCUACGGGAGGCAGCGGUAGGGAAUCUUGCGCAAUGGGCGAAAGCCUGAAGGAGCAACGCCGCGUGAGUGAUGAAGGUCUUCGGAUCGUAAAACUCUGUUAUUAGGGAAGAACAAAUGUGUAAGUAACUAUGCACGUCUUGACGGUACCUAAUCAGAAAGCCACGGCUAACUACGUG
RNAcentral lists this ribosomal RNA (497 nucleotides) under uncultured bacterium. Its description in RNAcentral is "partial 16S ribosomal RNA". It matches the Rfam family "Bacterial small subunit ribosomal RNA", at positions 28 to 507 of the family's 1533-position model. The record is from RNAcentral.